This 76-nucleotide transfer RNA is filed under the name Clostridiales bacterium. Its description in RNAcentral is "tRNA-Val". It matches the Rfam family "tRNA". Rfam says of the family: Transfer RNA (tRNA) molecules are approximately 80 nucleotides in length. Their secondary structure includes four short double-helical elements and three loops (D, anti-codon, and T loops). Further hydrogen bonds mediate the characteristic L-shaped molecular structure. tRNAs have two regions of fundamental functional importance: the anti-codon, which is responsible for specific mRNA codon recognition, and the 3' end, to which the tRNAs corresponding amino acid is attached (by aminoacyl-tRNA synthetases). tRNAs cope with the degeneracy of the genetic code in two manners: having more than one tRNA (with a specific anti-codon) for a particular amino acid; and 'wobble' base-pairing, i.e. permitting non-standard base-pairing at the 3rd anti-codon position. RNAcentral also lists the same sequence under 1 other name. Lineage: Bacteria; Bacillati; Bacillota; Clostridia; Eubacteriales. The record is from RNAcentral.
GGGCGAUUAACUCAGCUGGUAGAGUGCUACCGUCACAUGGUAGAAGCCGUGGGUUCAAGUCCCCCAUCGCCCACCA